AGAACGAACGCUGGCGGCACGCCUAACACAUGCAAGUCGAGCGCCCAGCAAUGGGAGCGGCGGACGGGUGAGUAACACGUGGGAAUAUGCCUUUCGGUACGGAACAACUCAGGGAAACUUGAGCUAAUGCCGUAUACGCCCUUACGGGGAAAGAUUUAUCGCCGAAAGAUUAGCCCGCGUCUGAUUAGCUAGUUGGUGAGGUAAUGGCUCACCAAGGCUUCGAUCAGUAGCUGGUUUGAGAGAACGACCAGCCACACUGGGACUGAGACACGGCCCAGACUCCUACGGGAGGCAGCAGUGGGGAAUCUUGGACAAUGGGGGAAACCCUGAUCCAGCGAUGCCGCGUGAGUGAUGAAGGCCUUCGGGCUGUAAAACUCUUUCGACGGGGACGAUAAUGACGGUACCCGUAGAAGAAGCUCCGGCUAACUUCGUGCCAGCAGCCGC
Molecule: ribosomal RNA, 444 nt
Filed under: uncultured bacterium
Lineage: Bacteria
Description: SSU rRNA
Rfam family: Bacterial small subunit ribosomal RNA
Source: RNAcentral